UGGGCAACCUGCCCCCGACCCUGGGAUAACCCCGGGAAACCGGAGCUAAUACCGGAUACUCUCCUCUGACCACCUGGUCGGAUGAGGAAAGGUCCGCCGGUCGGGGAUGGGCCCGCGGCCUAUCAGCUUGUUGGUGGGGUAACGGCCUACCAAGGCAUCGACGGGUAGCUGGUCUGAGAGGACGACCAGCCACACUGGGACUGAGAUACGGCCCAGACUCCUACGGGAGGCA
RNAcentral lists this ribosomal RNA (232 nucleotides) under uncultured bacterium. RNAcentral's name for it is "partial 16S ribosomal RNA". It matches the Rfam family "Bacterial small subunit ribosomal RNA", at positions 118 to 350 of the family's 1533-position model. The record is from RNAcentral.